AUUUUUUGGGGGUUCAUAAGCAUAAUGAUUGGGUAUUCACAGUCAUACAUGAGAUGUGCCAACCUCAACCUCUAUGCUAUAACAUAUAUAUAGUAAUCAUUAUAGC
Molecule: small nucleolar RNA, 106 nt
Organism: Callithrix jacchus (white-tufted-ear marmoset)
Lineage: Eukaryota; Metazoa; Chordata; Mammalia; Primates; Cebidae
Source: Ensembl